This is a transfer RNA of Camelus ferus (Wild Bactrian camel), 72 nucleotides long. It matches the Rfam family "tRNA". From Rfam's summary of the family: Transfer RNA (tRNA) molecules are approximately 80 nucleotides in length. Their secondary structure includes four short double-helical elements and three loops (D, anti-codon, and T loops). Lineage: Eukaryota; Metazoa; Chordata; Mammalia; Artiodactyla; Camelidae. The record is from Rfam.
GAGGGUAUAGCUCAGUGAUAGAGCAUGGGCUUAGCAUGCAGGAGGUCCUGGGUUCAAUCCCCAGUACCUCCA